This 445-nucleotide ribosomal RNA is filed under the name uncultured cyanobacterium. Its description in RNAcentral is "bacterial SSU rRNA". It matches the Rfam family "Bacterial small subunit ribosomal RNA", at positions 344 to 804 of the family's 1533-position model. The record is from RNAcentral. Lineage: Bacteria; Bacillati; Cyanobacteriota.
GAAUUCGCCCUUGGGGAAUUUUCCGCAAUGGGGGCAACCCUGACGGAGCAACGCCGCGUGGGGGAGGAAGGUCUGUGGAUUGUAAACCCCUUUUCUCUGGGAAGAAGAUCUGACGGUACCAGAGGAAUCAGCAUCGGCUAACUCCGUGCCAGCAGCCGCGGUAAGACGGAGGAUGCAAGCGUUAUCCGGAAUUAUUGGGCGUAAAGCGUCCGUAGGCCGUUCAUCAAGUCUGCCGUUAAAGACUACAGCUUAACUGUGGGCCGGCGGUGGAAACUGAAGAACUUGAGUAUGGUAGGGGUAGAGGGAAUUCCCAGUGUAGCGGUGAAAUGCGUAGAUAUUGGGAAGAACACCAGUGGCGAAGGCGCUCUGCUGGGCCAUAACUGACGCUGAGGGACGAAAGCUAGGGGAGCGAAAGGGAUUAGAUACCCCUGUAGUCAAGGGCGAA